Non-coding RNA from Callithrix jacchus (white-tufted-ear marmoset), 902 nucleotides. NCBI's taxonomy places the organism in Eukaryota, Metazoa, Chordata, Mammalia, Primates, Cebidae. The record is from RefSeq and is a predicted model, not a curated record.
UCUUGCAGGCAGCUUGGGCGUGCCCAGAGUGGUGCCCCUCUUCUCUAGGGACAAACGUGACUGUUGUUUCUUUUCAUAGCUGAUGGGCUCGGAUGCCAAGGUUUUCAGGAACCUUGUGCAGGAAUCACUGUUCCCGCCGGCUCUGAACACAAAAUGCUGCAUUUAGUCAUGUUAUAUCCAACGUUCUGCACUGUAAAACAGUGUUCCCUGAAAUGCGCCCAGCACCCCCUUCCAUCCAGCCGUUCAGCCCGGGGAUCUCCCCUCUUCCACGCGCUGCUCUCUGCCUGUGGAUCGGGGUGAGGAUCAGCUCAGCAUGGAGGAGCUCAACUUCUCCUUCGAAGGAAUCGUGGCUACGUCCCCCGCAGAAGCGUUCCUCCCUGGAGGGCUAAGAAACAGGCGAGGGGGGAAAGGGGUACAAGGGAGAAGCCACCCCACCUCCAGCCCCCGGUUCCCGCCUUAGUAUCCCGGCUGUGGUUUCUGAGCAUUCACUGUCACAGAAAAGCACUCAGCUGAGGAUGGUUGGAGGCCAGGAGUUCAAGACCAGCCUGGGCAACAUAGCAAGACCCUCCCCUCCCCCCCGCCCCGUUCUCUACAAAAAUAUAACAAAUAACAUAAAAAGGACAAUAAUUAUAACCUGCGCCAAACCUCUGGCCUCCCCAGAACCUUCCCUGCGCUGAGGGGGCCUCUGAAUUUUUGCGGAGGUUUAUCUCCCACUCUCUGACUUGUCUCACUAAGACAUCAAAAGUAUUUUUUUCCUCAGUGUCCAUGGGGACGUUGAAAAAAAUAAAAAGUACUUGCUACUUCCUGCCCCUCAUGAAGGGGGAAGGGAAGUGCUGGGUAGAGAAGGGCGUGGUCCCUGGCUAGGGAUCUCCCCUACCGCCCGCCCGGACCCACAAACCUAA